This 73-nucleotide transfer RNA is filed under the name Fukomys damarensis (Damara mole-rat). It matches the Rfam family "tRNA". Rfam says of the family: Transfer RNA (tRNA) molecules are approximately 80 nucleotides in length. Lineage: Eukaryota; Metazoa; Chordata; Mammalia; Rodentia; Bathyergidae. The record is from Rfam by way of RNAcentral.
UGGGGUGUAGUUCAGUGGUAGAGCUGCCAGCCUAGUAUGUGCAAGGCCCUGGGUUCCAUCCCCAGCACCCAAA